RNAcentral lists this ribosomal RNA (497 nucleotides) under uncultured bacterium. RNAcentral's name for it is "partial 16S ribosomal RNA". It matches the Rfam family "Bacterial small subunit ribosomal RNA", at positions 28 to 507 of the family's 1533-position model. The record is from RNAcentral.
GAUGAACGCUGGCGGCGUGCCUAAUACAUGCAAGUCGAGCGAACAGACGAGGAGCUUGCUCCUCUGACGUUAGCGGCGGACGGGUGAGUAACACGUGGAUAACCUACCUAUAAGACUGGGAUAACUUCGGGAAACCGGAGCUAAUACCGGAUAACAUGUUGAACCGCAUGGUUCAACAGUGAAAGACGGUCUUGCUGUCACUUAUAGAUGGAUCCGCGCCGCAUUAGCUAGUUGGUAAGGUAACGGUUUACCAAGGCAACGAUGCGUAGCCGACCUGAGAGGGUGAUCGGCCGCACUGGAACUGAGACACGGUCCAGACUCCUACGGGAGGCAGCAGUAGGGAAUCUUCCGCAAUGGGCGAAAGCCUGACGGAGCAACGCCGCGUGAGUGAAGAAGGUCUUCGGAUCGUAAAACUCUGUUAUUAGGGAAGAACAAAUGUGUAAGUAACUAUGCACGUCCUGACGGUACCUAAUCAGAAAGCCACGGCUAACUACGUG